Molecule: unclassified non-coding RNA, 255 nt
Filed under: Hevea brasiliensis (rubber tree)
Lineage: Eukaryota; Viridiplantae; Streptophyta; Magnoliopsida; Malpighiales; Euphorbiaceae
Source: RNAcentral
AUGCAACUAAAAAGUAGAGAAAGUAAUGAAUGGUUGUCUGUCUUAGAAAAUGAGAUAUGGAAGUCAUUUGAGGAUGAUAGUGAUGUUGGUCCAGUAUUGAAAUUGAGUUAUGACCACUUGCCAUAUCAUUUGAAGCAAUGUUUCACAUAUUGUGCAAUGUUUCCUAAGGAUUAUCCGUUUGAUAAGGAGAUAUUAAUUUAUUUAUGGAUUGCACAAGGUUAUGUUCAAUGCUGGAGUCAAAGUGGAAAUGAAAGU